GAGCUGCAGAGAUGAGUUGCCUAAAGUUUGUUCCAGAGAGGAGAGAGUGAAGAGACUGGCAAACCCAGAGGAGUAGGGAAGGCCAGGAGCGAUGUCAUAGUUUAGCAUUUGCAGCAUCACAGUCACUGCUGUAACGAUGAACCGUGUAGUCAAACACUGGAGUGUUGUGACAGACCAAUGGACCACAAAAGAUGAGACUCCAGGGCCAGAUUUUACUACACCAGAUCUCCAGGAACAGUGGGGUGGAGCAACAAGAAGCCCAGGAUGACCCGCUAUUUAUCAAAGCUGGUGUCUGUAAGGUGAUGAGUCACUCCUGUGCUGGGCUCCAACAAAUCCACAAGCCAGGAAUUGGUCUGGUGACUCCCAGGGCAGGCAUAUAAGUCCCAUGGGAGGAAAAGCAGCUUAAUCUACUGAAUGUCACUCCAGGGCUUAGAACUCUCUUCCGCCUAAUGGUGGUAACAGACGCCCCAAGCCUGUUCUCCAGCAGGCUCAGCUCAGCUCUUUAGGAAGAGAUCACUAGUAUCUAGGAUCUUUUACAGAGUCUGCCCCACCAGACAGGCAUUCCCUGUAGAAGCCCUUUUCUCCUCUCUCCCCUUCUCCUAGCUCUGUCUAGACUCAUUUCCCCAGCUGUGCCUGACAGCAGUCUCAUUCAGGGUAACCCAAGGCACAUGCAUUGUCGAUGUCUUGCCCUUUUAUUUCCCAAAAACUUCAGUAGCAGAAUUUUAAUUGUAUUCUAACUAAAAUGCCCCAAACUGUCACAUAACUAAAAUACAAAUAAGGCCUGGCCCAUUCCGUCAAUCUCCUUGCUCUCCAACGGGUGCCGGCAGAGAGCUUUGUUCCCAAUGGAUCCCCUCCCCAGCUGAAGUGUUUAAGCUCUGGGCCAGUCUUCUCCCAUUUCACCAAUGGGUGGCAAUAAAGAGCUCUUUAAUUUCUAAGGCUUCAGGCCACAUGGAUUCCGUAAAAUUAUCACAAACUCACAGAACGAAGUGGAAGAUCUAGAGUGGCAUAUUCAGAAAAAGAGAACAGAUUAAGUCAAUUUCUAUAUUUUCCACUGAUUCAUUUUAGUUCUUCUGGUAGAGUGUACAGGAGAAAACAUAUUUUACCAGAAGUGGAGAUUUGUCUAUACAUUCUGAUCUAAUUCAUGUCAUGUCAAAAGUUUAAUUCUAUUAGAUGUUAUUCAGGAUAACAAAAAAAUAUACUCCCUUUGGGUUUCUCCAUAAUUCACUGUAUCAUUGCAUGUAUAAAGAGUUGGUUGCAAUGUCCACUUUUCUGUUAAUUUUUUUAUUUAGUUCUUUGUUGAUUUUCAGAUCAGUUUUGGUAACUGUGCUUUGUAUAGCUUGUAUGAAGCAUUGAAAAAGAGACCUGUUCUGACAGCUAGUUGAUUUGGUUGUACAAUAGUGGUCAUCUCCCUUUAGCAGUUGGAAAGGUUUUGCUGCAUUCAAGCAAUGGUGAAGCCUUUGAAUUUGAUAUGAUUUGGUUUUUAAGAGAUAUUAAAAUUUGAUGAGGAAAAUGGACAUUAGUAAUUUGAAGUAUUGUAUGAAAUAAUUAAAGUAUCAUAGCAGCUUGAGAGAAAUAUUUUAAAUUGAAGGUGGCAUAGAUAAAAAGCAAAAAUAUAGAUACACAGGCCAAGAUGUUCAGAAGUAGUGUUUCUGAGUGUCUUAAAUUUGGAUAGCAAACUUAGAAGAACCUUAAAGGAACCUGAUUUUUCAGAUAGUGAUAAAGUGUCCACCCUCCAAGAAUCAAACCAUAUUAAGGUGGAUCAAGUUGGCCAUCUGAAAAAAAUGACUAAUCACUUUAAUAAAUCUUAGCCAUAUAACUUU
This is a long non-coding RNA of Mauremys mutica (yellowpond turtle), 1820 nucleotides long. RefSeq lists it as uncharacterized. Lineage: Eukaryota; Metazoa; Chordata; Testudines; Geoemydidae. The record is from RefSeq and is a predicted model, not a curated record. The transcript is spliced from 3 exons.